Molecule: long non-coding RNA, 3160 nt
Filed under: Salmo salar (Atlantic salmon)
Lineage: Eukaryota; Metazoa; Chordata; Actinopteri; Salmoniformes; Salmonidae
Description: lncRNA (ENSSSAG00000113434.1)
Source: RNAcentral
CUGUAUUCACAAAGCAUCUCAGUCGGUGUACUGAUUUUAGGAUCCGUUUUUCCUUUUAUAUCACAAUUAAUGAUUACAUUGACAAGGGGGAGCUGGUCCUAGAUCACUAUUCCUACUCUGAAGACACUCGGUUCGGUAAGAAAGCUGCUGCCAAAUACCUUGCACAGCAGUCUUUCACCACAGGAUCCUAGAGGUAUUACAGUCAAUGUUUCUAAACUAAACAUUUGUAUGUGCAUUUCCAUAUCAAUGAUACUAACAAAAGGGUUGAAUAGUUCAGCAACAUGUGCAGUGAACAUGGCUUUGGUGAUGAAAGAAACAUUUGAAAAAUGGCGUCGAUAGAGAAGGCAGCCGUGGUUCUAGCCCCCAGCAACUUUGCAGUAUUUUGUUUUUUAUGUGUUUUUUCUUACAUUAUUAGGCCAGAAAAUGUUUUGUGUUAUUACAUACAGCCGGGAAGAACUUUGGAUAUCAGAGUGGCGGUGCUGUAACUCACCAGCAUUACCAGCAUUAUGACCAGGAAUACGACUUUCCCGAAUCGGAUCCUUUGUUCGUACCCCCCAGGCAAUUCAACUUAUUCCAGAGGCUGACCCAAAACAUCGUCGGCGGAGAAGAGGUACUCGGAGUGGACUUCUAGUCCAACUCACAAGGCGUGCACACCACCCACCGCUUCCGAGUACAUUACUCACUAAUGUUCAGUCUCUGGAUUUCCUUCCAGAGAGACAUCAGGGAUUGUAACAUACUCUGUUUCACAGAAACAUGGCUCUCUCAGGAUUUACUGUCUUAGUCCGUAAAGCCAGUGGGUUCUCAGUUUAUCGCUCAGACAGGAAUAAAUAUCUCUCCGUGAAGAAGAAGGGCGGGGGUGUAUGUUUCAUGAUUAACUACUCAUGGUGUGAUUGUGAUAACAUACAGGAACUCAAGUCCUUUUGUUCUCCCAACCUAGAAUAACUCACAAUCAAAUGCUGACCGUAUUAUUUCCCAAGACAAUUCUCUUCGGUUAUUGUCACAGUCGUGUAUAUUCCCCCUCAAGCUCGUACCAUGACGGCCCUAAAAUAACUUCACUGGACUUUAUGUAAACUGGAAACCACAUAUCGUGAGGCCUCAUUUAUUGUAACUGGGGAUUUUAACAAAGCAAAUUUGAGGAAAGUGCUACCGAAGUUCUAUCAACACAUUGACUGUAGUACUCAUGCUGCUAAAACACUCAACCACUGCAAGGCCCUCCCCCACCCUCCAUUCAGCAAAUCUGAUCAUGACUCCAGUUUGCUCCUCCCUUCCUAUAGGCAGAAACUCAAACAGGAAGUACCUGUGCUAAGGAUCAUUCAAAGCUGGUCUGACCAAUCGGAAUCAAAUCAAAUGUAUUUAUAAAGCCGAUAUCUCAGCUGAUAUCUCAAAGUGCUGUCAGAAACCCAGCCUAAAACCCCAAACAGCAAGCAAUGCAGGCGUAGAAGCACGGUGGCUAGGAAAAACUCCCUAGAAAGGCCAGAACCUAGGAAGAAACCUAGAGAGGAACCAGGCUAUGAGGGGUGGCCAGUCCUCUUCUGGCUGUGCCGGGUGGAGAUUAUAACAGAACAUGGCCAAGAUGUUCAAAUGUUCAUAGAUGACCAGCAGGGUCAAAUAAUAAUAAUCACAGUGGUUGUCGAGGGUGCAACAGGUCAGCACCUCAGGAGUAAAUAUCAGUUGGCUUUUCAUAGCCGAUCAUUCAGAGUAUCCCUACCGCUCCUGCUGUCUCUAGAGAGUUGAAAACAGCAGGUCUGGGACCGGUAGCACAUCCUGUGAACAGGUCAGGGUUCCAUAGCCGCAGGCAGAACAGUUGAAACUGGAGCAGCAGCAUGGUCAGGUGGACUGGGGACAGCAAGGAGUCAUCAGGCCAGGUAGUCCUGAGGCAUGGUCCUGGGGCUCAGGUCGUCCGAGAGAAAGAAAGAAAGAAAGAAUUAGAGAGAGCAUACUUAAAUUCACACAGGACACCGGAUAAGACAGGAGAUAUACUCCAGAUAUAACAGACUGACCCUAGCCCCCCGACACAAACUACUGCAGCGUAAAUACUGGAGGCUGAGACAGGAGGGGUCGGGAGACACUGUGGCCCCGUCCGACGAUACCCCCGGACAGAGCCAAACAGGCAGGAUAUAACCCCACCCACUUUGCCAAAGCACAACCCCACACCACGGGUGUGGAAUCCACACUUCAGGGUUGUUUUGAUUUUAAUCGAUUUUUUAUUAUUAUAUAUAUACGUAUUUUACCUUUAAUUAACUAGGCAAGUCAGUUAAGAACAAAUUCUAUUUUACAAUGACGGCCUAGGAACAGUGGGUUAACUGCCUUGUUCAGGGGUAAAACGACAGAUUUUUACCUUGUCAGCUCGGGUAUUCGAUAUAGCAACCAUUUGGAUCACUGGCCCAACGCUCUAACCACUAAGCUAUCUACCACUCCAGUUGGACUGGGAUAUGAUCCAGGUAGCCUCAGAGAAUAACAUUGACGAAAAUACUGAUAUGGUUACUGAGUUUAUCAGGAACGGUAUAGGAGAUGUUGUACCUACUGUGACUAUUAAAACCUACUCUAACCGGAAACCGUGGAUAGAUGGCAGCAUUCAUGCAAAACUGAAAGCGCGAUCCACCACAUUUAACCAUGGCAAGGUGACUGGGAAUAUGGCAGAAUACAAAUAGUGCAGUUAUUCCCUCCGUAAGGCAAUCAAACACACAAAACGUCAGUAUGGAGACAAAGUGGAGUCGCAAUUCAACGGCUCAGACACAAGACGUAUGUGGCAGGGUCUACAGACAAUCAAGGACUACAUAAGGAAAACCAGCCACAUCGCGGACACCAACAUCUUGCUUCCAGAUAAGCUGAACACCUUCUUCGCCCGCUUUGAAUAUAACACAGUGCUACCGACGUGGCCCGCUACCAAGGACUGUGGGCUCUCCUUCUCUGUGGCCGAUUUUGCUGUCCCCACUUGCUUCAAGAUGGCCAUUUUUCCUGUACCCAAGAAAGCAAAGGUAACUGGAACUAAAUUAUUAUCACCCCGUAGCACUCACUUCUGUCAUCAUGAAGUGCUUUGAGAGACUAGUCAAUGAUCAUAUCACAUCUACCUUACCUGACACCCUAGACCCACUUCAAAUUGCUUACUGCCCCAACAGAUCCACAGACGGUGCAAUCGCCAUCUCACUGCACACUGCCC